UUGUAUUUGGCGACAAUAAGGCCGUGGAGACGUACGCGUUUUUUUAUAUUGGUUCAACGGGAACGUCCAUUGAAGAGAGUUUGAUCGGGGAACUAGGUCUUAAAGCGACACCGCAUCCGUUGUGCAUCAGAGGGACCGGUGAGACUGAAAAGGAUGAAAGUCGUUCAGUAAAGGUAGCAUUACAAAUAGCCAGCGUCGACAACACGAUGAGGAAAUUUACGCUUACAAAGGUACACACUCUGCAAUGCCUCUCGUUACCUUCACAAUCGUUCUCAGUAGAUGCUACGUCUAGAAAGUAUCUGGAAGGUCUAAAGUUGCGAUCUUAUUCCGACGUGAUACCGCGAAUUCUCAUCGGCAUUGAUAAUUGUCAGCUAAUGCGUCCAUUUGCGUUCGUGGAGGGAAAGAAACAGGAGCCAGCCGCCAUCAAAACCCGCUUAGGUUGGAUCGCCUUCGGACCGUAUCCCCGUGGAUCCUUGCGGCAAGACGCAAAUACUUAGGGCAAUUCCCACAUAUUCUCACAUGAACCAGACAAUCUACAAAAAAAGGUAUUUCACAACCAAUUCGCUAGGUGAGGCCAAAACGCCAGGAAACAUACCCUCAAAAACGAUGAACGAGAAUUACCGGAAGAGGUUCGAAUAAUCGAAGCGAAAGGUGGCUUCGAAAUCCGUAAUCGGAUGGAUACGUUGCAACAGGGGACCCGAACGGACAAGCGUGCGAUUUUGUCCACGGGCGCCUCGACUGGGGGUUUCUAGGAAUGUCGUGGCGCGUUAGUGAUCGCGGUGCAAAGUUCAUCGGUGCGACCGAUGUCGUCAACUCCCAGCCACUGACGAAGGCACCCAUCAAAACCUGCCCUUACGCCGAACCAUUUCUAUGGAAUUCCGAACGAAGAUCAUCCGAUGGAAGCGUUCGACGGCAGAGACGUGAUGCUGAAAAUGAAAUCGAAGGCUUUACAGGUGCUAACAGAAAACUUCCGGGUAAAGUGGGUUGCGGAUUAUAUACUCACCUUAACGCGAUGAGACAAGUGCAGCAGACUAGACAGGCGAAAACACAAACGGGGUGGGCUUAUUAGUGCGGCUAACCACAUAACAUAGAUGUUACACUUACUUACACCAUUGGUUGAGGAGGAAAAUUUUCAUAGGGAAAACCAACCAAAGCACUAAGAUAGCAGAACCGGGCAAUCACGAUGAAAACACGCGAAAACAGCCGGAUGUAUACACAUUCACACAAUGUAUGCAUACGCUGGGGGGAAGAAUGUCAAAUUAAUUUGACCCAACCGGCUUCGUAGUACCGCGCGUUUCCAGUAGGCUGCGUCACUAGCGCCAAAAUAAAAAAUAAGGGAAAAAGGGGCCGAAGCGAGGAUUAACAAAACAUCCCGGGAACAACCACAAGCGGUAAUUAAGAAAAAAAAAGCAGAGAAACGCAUUUGGAUUUGAUUUGGAAAAGGCAUUUGAAAGAUUUAAUCGUAAAUACCUUUACAAAAUCAUGAACGCUAUAGGAUUUCGAGAAUUAUCAUUGAACUUAAAACUUAAACAUCGAACUUAAAAAUACAUACCCCCGCGCCACAAAUUAUGCUUAAACGACUGGAAAACAGAAUGUCCAUAUAGUUUCGGAGCUUCAUUGGUUUGAUCACUAGAUGGCGUCCUCUCGUUAUCCCUGAGUCAAAGAGUCCAUAUAAAAAUUCAAGUUUCUGAGCUUCAGAGGUUUCCUCUCUACAUCGCGUCCUUUCGAUAUCCCAGAGACAUAAUUUCGAUGCAAAAAAAAAAAAAUGAAAGUUUCAGUGCUUCAGUGAUGCGCUCAGUAGAUGGCGCUUUUUCACUAUCGAAAAGUUAUAUGAUCGAGAUUGUUUCUCCUAUCCUCCGCACACAGGCAUAUUUGCAAGAAGCAAACCUCUUGGCGUGAAUGCUUUUUUUUUUCGUUCAUAUUGAGGUAUGCGAAUGUGGGCAUGCACGAUCAUGCACGCGCUCGCUCUUUGUUGUGCGUGCUUGCGUAAUGGGUGACUGCGCGCGUCGAUCCUUCGCACAUGUGUGUGCGUGCGAGUGUGUGCGCGAGUUUGAGCCUUUGCGUGUUUCUGCAUGUAUGUUUUUUGGUGUGUCCUUGAAACAUGUUUCCGAUCGCACACGCAUGAAAAAAAGAACUUUUUCGCAAUUCCCAUAACAACGGAGGUUUUGAGAAAGAGAUCUACAUUAUGCAUAAAUCUCUUUUAACAACGGUAGGAAGAGAUUUCUGAACACUAUCACGUUUUGUUUCGCACUAUUUGUUACGCCCGUAUCAUUCGACGUAUCGCACGGCAUCACAGAUCUAGUUGUAACGCUUCGAGUUAGCGAACGGGUGUUUCUCGAACAAAUCUACAACUUAAUCCAUAGAACAUAAAAGUAUCUCUCCCCUUCCACUCAUUUCAAAGGUUCUUGAGCAAAGUCCAAAGUUAAGAGAAAUAGAAAAGAGCAGAAAGCAAGGGGUAUCGAAAGCGUAAAAAACGGUGAAAGCAUUGUUGCGUAGCUUUUUCGCUUCUAUGACGAGCUUGUAAGCUCUUAUCUUUUUCACAAACCUGAAAGCUCAGUCUUAUAUCCCCUGCUAAAUGUGGUCAUUUUACUUCCCGUUUAGACUCAAGCUUUAGUCUAAAUGACCCCGUUCAGAAGUCGUUCAAGCAAUUUGUGGCGCUUGGGACGAACAAAUUUCGGCAGGCGGGGGCCUUCUCAAGUCUAUUUCCUUAACGGUUCGAAAUUUAUUACCGCUCAUUCCUCUUAACCCUCCCUUCGGCCCCUUUUUUUUCCUUAUUUAAAUAUUUUUGCGCUAGUGGCGCAGCCUACUGGAAACGCGCGGUACUACGAAGCCGGUUGGGUCAAAUUAAUUUGACAUUCUUCCCCCCAGCGCAUGAAUACAUUGUGUGAAUGUGUAUACAUCCGGCUGUUUUCGCGUGUUUUCAUCGUGAUUGCCCGGUUCUGCUAUCUUAGUGCUUUGGUUGGUUUUCCCUAUGAAAAUUUUCCUCCUCAACCAAUGGUUCUGCUGCACUUGUCUCAUCGCGUUAAGCAUCACGUCUCUGCCGUCGAACGCUUCCAUCGGAUGAUCUUCGUUCGGAAUUCCAUAGAAAUGGUUCGGCGUAAGGGCAGGUUUUGAUGGGUGCCUUCGUCAGUGGCUGGGAGUUGACGACAUCGGUCGCACCGAUGAACUUUGCACCGCGAUCACUAACGCGCCACGACAUUCCUAGAAACCCCCAGUCGAGGCGCCCGUGGACAAAAUCGCACGCUUGUCCGUUCGGGUCCCCUGUUGCAACGUAUCCAUCCGAUUACGGAUUUCGAAGCCACCUUUCGCUUCGAUGAUUCGAACCUCUUCCGGUAAUUCUCGUUCAUCGUUUUUUGAGGAUUGUCUGGUUCAUGUGAGAAUAUGUGGGAAUUGCCCUAAGUAUUUGCGUCUUGCCGCAAGGAUCCACGGGGAUACGGUCCGAAGGCGAUCCAACCUAAGCGGGUUUUGAUGGCGGCUGGCUCCUGUUUCUUUCCCUCCACGAACGCAAAUGGACGCAUUAGCUGACAAUUAUCGAUGCCGAUGAGAAUUCGCGGUAUCACGUCGGAAUAAGAUCGCAACUUUAGACCUUCCAGAUACUUUCUAGACGUAGCAUCUGCUGAGAACGAUUGUGAAGUCUCACCGGUCCCUCUGAUGCACAACGGAUGCGGUGUCGCUUUAAGACCCAGUUCCCCGAUCAAACUCUCUUCAAUGGACGUUCCCGUUGAACCAAUAUAAGAAACGCGUACGUCUCCACGGCCUUAUUGUCGCCAAAUACAACCACAGAUGCACCCAAUGUUCUUCAUUUGGACAGCUUUGGAACUGACUAAAGUAAAUUGUAGCCGCGCAAAGAUCGGGACGUGACGUCAAUGCAACAUACAUAAGACAACCCAUUAAUUCCCGAUAAGGUUUAUCGAUUCGCUUGUUUUCUAUGCCCUUUUCUAAAUUCAACUGACAAUCGAUCGGAGUCGCUACAGGUUUGCAUUCACUCAUAUUGAACCUCAAUAGCAAAUUUCUAAGAAAAUUUUCCUGAUUGAUAUAUAGCAGUCUCUUUUCCUUGCAUCGCUUUAUAUCCAUUCCUAGGAAAUUUUUAACUUCUCCGCUAUCGGUCAUUUUGAAUCUUUCAGAAAAAAUAUUCUUUACGGCUUUGAUUGAUUCUAGAUUUUCUCCAACAAUGAGUAAAUCAUCAACAUACAAGAUUAUGAAUAUUCUUUUUGUAUCAUUUCCUCUUGUAUACAGGCAAGGAUCGUUGUCACUAGGCAAGAAAUUUAAACUUUGAACAAAUUCAUUGAAUUUUCUAUUCCAAGCUCUAGAAGCCUGUUUUAGUCCGUAUAAAGAUUUGUUUAAACGACAGACAAGAUCUCUUCCCAAAUCAAAACCUUCUGGUUGUUCCAUGUAAAUUUCCUCGUUUAUUUCGCCAUUCAGAAACGCUGUACAUACAUCCAUUUGAUGGAUAUGCCAUUUGUUAUAAUUUGCUAUUGCAAAUACCGUUCUGAUUGUAUCUAGCUUUGCGACUGGGGAAUAGGUAUCCGAAUAAUCAAAACCCUGUCUCUGAGAAAAACCUCGAGCCACUAAACGUGCUUUAUAUCGAACUAGCUCAUUUUCUCUUUUGAAUUUGAAAACCCAUUUACAUGAAAUCGGUUUUCUACCUUUUGGUAAUUCUACCAACGACCACGUGUUGUUCGUUUCAAGCGAGUUCAUUUCGUCUUGGAUCGCUACUUUCCAUUUAUCCCAAUCAGUCCUGUUUUUAGCUUCUUUUAGAGAUCGCGGAAAAUCAGAUCGACGCACCGUUGUCUCAGUUUCCACUCGUCCGCCCGAUAAAUCAUUCGCUUCUUCUUCGUUGCACGACCGAAAACUCUCGUCUGCAUUACCAGUUUCAGAUGUUACACCUGAUUCGUCAUUACGUUCAUCACGGUCAUCCUCUUCGUUGUCAGAAAUGUUCUGAAAAAUUUCAACUGGUAAUCUAUUUACUGAGUUUGAUGUCACCUUUGAUUCUGUUGUUCUCGGAUGUUCAUCAAAAAUGACGUCUCGUGCCACGACUAUUUUUCUAAGCAUCGGGUUCCAUAUACGGUAGCCACAGUGACUGUAGCCGACGAAAACUCCUUUCCAGGAUUUUUCGUCCAGUUUUCUGCGACACUCCUUCGGAAUAUGCACGUGUACCGUGGAGCCAAAUACACGCAAGUUACGGACGUCAGGUUUGGCUCCUUCCCAUAUUUCGUACGGCGUCUUCUCAUUGUUACUCGCACUGGAAGGGCUGCGAUUAGUCAGAUAUGCUACUGACUGUACUGCGGGUCCCCUAAACUUUUUACCGAUACCACUAUUAUGCAACAUGGAACGAGCCUUUUCUACUAGUGUUCGAUUCAUACGCUCACUCACGCCAUUUUGUUCCGGUGUGUACGGUACCGUCCAUUCGACUUGGAUUCCUUUCGCUGAACAAAAAAUCAAGAAAUCUUUGUCUCUAUAUUCUCCGCCGUUGUCGCAUCGGAUUCUUGAUAUUCUUUUACCGAACUUCGCACUUACCAUGGCUUCGUAUUCUUGAAAAUAUUUAUUCAUUUAACUUUUCCUUUCCAUAAGAAAAACCAUCGUGAAACGGCUCCAAUCAUCGAUAAAGGUUACAAAAUAGUUCGCACCGCUAUUGUCCUCUGGGCUGAUUGGACCACAUACGCCAGAAUGUAUUAACUCGACCACACGACUUGAUCGUUUUUCUUCUCGCGAAUUGAAAGACUUUCGAGUUUGCUUUCCUUUGUUACAGGCUUCACACACAAUAUUAUCAUUCCCGAGGCUUCUUUUAUCCGACACUUCCAAACCGCGAACCAUAUUGCUUUUCAAUAGUUUUUCCAAAUUUUUAGCACUCAGAUGGCCAUACCGAUAAUGCCAUAGUUCCAGGUUUCGUGGAAUCUGUCCGCAAGAAUAAUACGCCUCAUGUGUGUUCGCAUCGUUGAAAUUCAACCAAUACAAUUUCCCGCACAAUUCACCUUUCACUAUCUGUUUUCCACGUUUAUUCAAUAUUUUAACACACUCGUUAUCGAAUACCACUUCAAAUCCAGCAUUUGUUAUCUUCCGUAUGGAUAACAAAUUUGUAGGAGCUUCCGGUACAUACAAAACGUUCUUAAGUGUAACUGGAAUUUUGUCAUUACCCACACUUUCAAACACUAUAUCCCCUUCAUAAUAAGCGGUAAUAAAUUGGUUCUCUUUGGCGACGGAAAUUUGAACAUGCUUGUUCAAUUCCCUCAACACACUGAACACGUUUUUAUUAUUCGAUAUGUGUUCCGAAGAACCAGAGUCAACUACCCACGUUCCACCAGCAUUCAAGGGAAACCUUUCAUUGUUUAGAAAGCAUGCACCACGCGUAUUGUCAUCAUCACCAAGAUAAGCGUUGGACUUCUUAGGAAACUUCUUUUUCAUUUUGUUCCUUUCUGGGCACAUAUUCGCCUUAUGUCCGUCCUUCUUACACGCGUAACAUUUUACCACUCUUUGCUGUUGAGGUUUACGCUGCCAUCCUUUUGCACUGGAAAAAGCAGCUGGUUCCGAUUUUGAAAUGUUCACCGAAUUGUUUUGCUGUUUCACUUCUUCGUCCAAAAGUCGACUUUUUACGAAUUCUAUAGUCAAACUACUCUCCGACAUUGUUACCAGCGCCGUAACGAGCGUAGCAUAAGACAAGUUCAACGUAAGAAGGAGAUGAAAGAUCACAUCGUCAUUAUCCAUUCUACCUCCGGUCGCCCGGUAAUCGCGCAUUAAACUAUCAAAUACCAGAAAAUGCUCUCGUAGAGGACCACUUUCGUGUUUCAAAGCUAGGAGCUUUUUCUUUUCGAGGAUAAGCUUUUUCUCUCGUAUAUGUUCAAAAGUGUGUCCCACAUUUCCUUUGGAGUUAGUUUGUCACGCACAUAUUCUAAUUGAGAGUCCGCAAUACGAGAAAUCAACAAAAGCUUGCAUUUCUUAUCACUCUUGCUAAGCUGUUCUCCUUCUUUUCUUUCCUUUGUAAGGCAGUCCAUAAGUCCUCUUUCCUCAAGCAGAAUCAUCAUUUGAUAUUUCCAGGAGGCAAAGUUAGUGCCGUCCAUCAUCGGCAACAACAUCACUUUUUCUUCCUCCAUUUCAAAACCAGUUUUCACUGCACUACCGUUAAGCAAACACUUCACAAUAGAAGCCGGUUUUCUAUAUUCGCAGUACUGAUUUCUUCGGGUCUGGGCCCAUAACCUAUUGAGCAGAGUGCAGAAACAGCGUCUAGCUUCGGUGGCUGGCAGAACUCAACUGAACUUUUAUUCUAGCUCAAGGUAUUUACAGGACGGGUGUAUACAUACAGAUUUAUAGUAAUGGAUUAUAGUACACAGGGUUGAAUUGAUAUCUCAACAACAUUUAAAAAUGUGCUUGCCAUCGUUCAGUUCCACUAGAAGAGAGGUUCAACAUUUGGACCAUCUAAAGCUUUUCCGUCGUCAAAAGCAAUUUGGAAGCACCCGUAAGGACCUUUAAAUUUCUGCUCUUGUUGGUUUUCGUGGUAUUUCCGAAAAAUCCAUCUUGAAGGUUUUGUCACUUCCCGACAUUUUCCUCAAGACAAGCACUGCCCACAAAGACUAACUGUUAGUUUUUGGAAAGCACGUUUGGUUUUUUGUCGUUUCUCUCGACCCUGAUAUACAGUCAUUUACUGUACUAUACGAGCACCUGUUGUUUUUGAAUAAAAUAAGAACAGAAUUGGUCUUAUUUUACAAUAAUAUUUACAUUAAUAGGUCGCUAUGAACAUCCUGACGGGUAUCCUUCUAUUUAGUGUUUACGCUGUAUUUUUCUACUGAAUUUAAUUAAUUUGAAGAAAAUAAGUCAUAUUUUUAUGAAGACCAGCUGGUAGAGGAAGGUCACUUAAGCUGCCUUCAUGAUAGGAAUCAUCCCAUACAUUAUUUGAAUCUACUUAAUCUAUCUUACGUACCUGUCGUGAUUGCCGCCUGCAAUUACGCUUUUAUUCAUCUGAAACAUUUUAGCACUUUUUUAAAUAUAUAUAUUUAUUUGUGUUUGUUUUGCUCGCAUUUACGUUCGAAGCACCGUUCUCUUCAACGUCUGUCCAAAAACUGCCAACUUUUUGCUUUCUUUUCUCUCUUGUCUGCGUUCUUUCUCUGUUUUCUCUUGUCUGCGUUCUUUCUCUGUUCUCUCCUGUUUCGCCGAGAUUCUCCUAACUCUCUUGAAACAAGAACGUCCGUACUUCUAGUAGGCUUUUUAUUUGCCUUUAUUUUAUCCCUACUCUUAUUUGCCCUUUUAGGUUGGUAACGUCCUUCUUUAUAUAUUUUUAAUCUACUCCUAAUUAUUCUAUUCUCUACAUUUUUUUUUUUAUUAAACUACACUUCUAAUCUCUACAGUUUGUUCUAUUCUUCUUCUUCUUCUUCUUCGCUAUAUGAGAGAGGAAUACAUAUCCUCCUAUGUUUAGUGGCAGAACCAUCUCUACAUAAUCAGAGGUUUGCCUCUCUCUUGUUUGUCUUUGACUUCCCUGAGUCAUAUCGACGUAUUAAUAUUACGAUUAAUUCGGAAUUUGGGUUUGCGUUUUGUUUUUUGUUGUUGUUUCUCUAGAAUUCGAUCUUGUUUUGCUUUACGUACUUCGCUAUUUGUUUGAUCAUCGUUCCAUCCCUAUCAUUCCAGUGUGCCAUAAAAUCUUCAGUAGUUGAACCUAGCGGUGGGUCGAAUCUUUGACAUUCGAAUAUUAAAUGUGUAGCUGUUUCUGGUACAUUACACACAUUGCAGUUUGGGUUAUCAGAUAGUUUCAUUACAUGUAACCAAUAUUUUGCUAAAUCAUGGCCUGUUAAGAUUCUAUUGCCCCUCCUUAUUUCGUUUGCAGUUAAGUCGAUUUAAUGAUGCCACGGUUUACUUGUAAAUUCUUGUUGAUAUUGUUUGAAUUUUUUACCUUUUUCUUCGCAUUGUUCUUUGUACCACUUUUUUGUGUCUUCUAGCAUUUUGUUUUUUGCUACUAUUAAGGUAUCUUCUAAUCUUAAACUUAUUUUUUAUGCGAGUUUCUGAUUUAAUGCCUUCUUUGGCUAGUUCAUCGGCUUUUUCGUUACCUGGGAUACCCACAUGUCCAGGGAUCCAUCUGAUUUCUGCUUUAGUUUGCUUACAGUACUUUAAUAUGUUGUGCAGUGGUUUUUCUAUGUGUGAGUCUUUUUGUGCUCUUGUGAUAAUUUGGCAUGCUGCCUGACUGUCUGUAUAUAGUAUUGGAUUUUUUAUUUUUGUGUCGUGAGCUAUUUUAAGGGCUUUUUCUAUUGCUGAUAAUUCGAUAGAUGUUGUUGAAGUUAAAUUUUCUAAACGAUAUUUGUAGGUGUGAGUCUUGUCGAGAGAUGUGAUGAAAAUUCCUAUGCCUGCUCCUUCUACCGAUCUACUACCGUCUGUGAAGAUUAUUGUGUUUGUUUUUUGGGCCUGCUCGAUUUCGUUUAUAUAUUCUACUUUCAUGAUUUUUUGAUCGUGAGGAUUCUUUUUUGACAGCCUCUGAUCGAGUUUAGUGCGUAUUUUUAUCUCCUCCUGUACUUUGUUUAAGGUUAUAUCAGCCAUUUGUUUUAUGGUCUCUUUGUUUUCCGUGUAUAAUAUUUCUAGGUAGUUUUUCUUCCGUUUUUUUCUGGUGCGAUUCCUCUCAAAUUGUUUUUUAUGUAUGGGUGAAUAUAGGAUUGUUUUAAAGAGCUCUUUCGUAGCUAGGUAUUUAGUUCUGUAGCCUAGGGGUAUUUCUGCAUUUAUGGCGUAAAGUGUGUUGAUCGGGGUAGUUUUUGUGCAACCUGAUACCUUUCUGAUAGAUUGUGCGACUAUUGGGUUCAUUGUGUUCAAAUGUUGUUUUUUACCAUUUCCUAGAAUGGAUGCUCCAUACUCGAGUGUUCUUUUUACUAUUGUUCUAUGUACCGCGAUCGUUUUCUUUGGGUUAAGAUUAUUUUUGAAGUUGCAAAUGUGUUUCAUUACAUUAAAUUUGGUGCGGGCUUUGUCUUUUUGUACUUCUAUUUCUUUACGGAAUGUUAGCCUACUGUCCAUCCAUAUGCCUAAAUAUUUGUAUGUCUCUACCCUUUCAAUAAUUUUUUCCUCUAUUCCAAUCUG
Molecule: long non-coding RNA, 10041 nt
Organism: Anopheles stephensi (Asian malaria mosquito)
Lineage: Eukaryota; Metazoa; Arthropoda; Insecta; Diptera; Culicidae
Exons: 6
Source: RefSeq, a predicted model, not a curated record